Culex quinquefasciatus (southern house mosquito) is the source of this 198-nucleotide long non-coding RNA. RefSeq lists it as uncharacterized. Lineage: Eukaryota; Metazoa; Arthropoda; Insecta; Diptera; Culicidae. The record is from RefSeq and is a predicted model, not a curated record. The transcript is spliced from 2 exons.
UUUUACACUUACUUAGGGAAAACCACCAUCUAACUAUUACAAACCAGACACCCUACCGUUGGAGAGUAACGAACAGUACGAUAGCGACUAGACAAAAUUUCCCCUGAAGAAGACCGACAAAACCGGUCGAAACGUCGGGCAGUUUUAAUAUAAACAUCGCUUGAUUAUUUUUAACCGACUGAGAAAGCCGACCAAUCA